This 388-nucleotide unclassified non-coding RNA is filed under the name Cyperus waterloti. RNAcentral's name for it is "partial external transcribed spacer 1f". The record is from RNAcentral. Lineage: Eukaryota; Viridiplantae; Streptophyta; Magnoliopsida; Poales; Cyperaceae.
AUUCGGUUGCCUGUGCGGUUUUACCCUUGUUGGUUGCACAUUUUUGCCGUUGUUGUGUAUUCUGCUUGCUCUGUUGAUGCUAUGCAUCGAUGGGUGGCCGAGGCGUUGGCAAACUCCAUGCGCUGCGAUGCACUUUGUGCGUUGGAACUGCAAUUGGAUGUUUGCUGGGUCUCACGGAUAUCAGUCCCUAUGUUGAGCGGCCUACGGGCUUCCAGCCUUCAGGCUCAUGGUGUAGCGCUUGCACGUAUCGUUGUUGCUGAUGUUCCACCGACAUGUCGUGGUUUUCGCGUCAUGUUGAGGGAUCGCACUCGGUGCACGAUUAUGUGUCUGUGCGUACGCCUUCUCGACCGAAUGACGUGCGAUUGCCCGGCGGCAUCGUCGUAAGGCC